CAAAAUGGAAUACCCAGCAGCGUUUACAAUCAUAAUUGUGAAUUCAAAAAGAACAAUAAAGUUAUUAUCACUAUAUCUGUUGCUAGACUUUUGCUAUCCUUUGACAGACCAGUAAAGCGUCUAUGUAGGUCUUCGUAUAACUAGUUUUCGUAAUUAUUUCUUACUUCAUUGUACAUCGACCAAAAUAAUAGGGUCCACAAAAAACCUAGAACACGUUAUCAGAGCUUAAUUCAGCCUGACCUUCUGUAAAGUUUGUAAGCCACGGCAACAGCCGCCCCAGCUCCAAGCACACCAACGGCUGUGAGAACAUCACGCUCCUUCAAUAGAGACCGGAUCUUACAGCUUUUGCCCUCUUUAAUCUCGUCUCUUUUUGCAGGAUUUGGAAAACUGCAACAAGAAACUCCAUUAACACCCUGGCAACAACCGGUCACAUUUUCUUCCCUGCUCAAGCUGUUACUUUCAAUAUUCUUCUCGAUCU
RNAcentral lists this long non-coding RNA (478 nucleotides) under Medicago truncatula (barrel medic). Its description in RNAcentral is "lncRNA gene39376". The record is from RNAcentral. Lineage: Eukaryota; Viridiplantae; Streptophyta; Magnoliopsida; Fabales; Fabaceae.